CACAUCUUUACUUUUACUUUUAUUAUUGCAUGGCUUUGGGAGCUUUUAGUCUUUUAGUUCAAGAUAUAUUUAAUUAUUAAUGGAAAUAUAUCUUUACCUUAGCAAAACAAAAAAAUGAAAAUAUUUAAUAUAAUUACAGUUAGAGAAGUCAAUUUGAUGAUUUUGAAACAAAAUUUAAGGUUUUUCUUCAAUGCUGGUUUUUCUUUAUAAAAGUGAUAUUGCUUAAGUUUUUGACUACCUGUUUUUUUUUAUUAAGAAAGCCAACUUUGAGUUUAAUGUUUAGUAAUUUAUGUUAACCUUAAUCAAUUUUAAAGUGUCCAUCAUACACAAUAAAUUAGAUUUAGAAUAUUUACAAAUGAAUCAUGUAGUUUAAGCAUACAGUUUUGAUUCAAUCACUUGAUUCAUUAUGCAUGCCAUAUAUUUGUUGGAUCUCUCACAUAAGUUUCUAAAAACUUAUCUAUGUUAAAAUUUUAUAUUGGUACAUAUACCCUUACUGCUGUAAAACAUUUGAAAAGAGUAAGUUUCCUGAAUGGAUUAACAAGAAGAUGCAGUACUUAUGUGUAAACAUUCCUUAAAGCUUAUAAAUCUUGUAAAGUAAUGUAAUAGUAGUCUGUGUAUUAGUAUGUGUGAGGUUUCUCUAAUUCUUUGCAACUAAGAAGGAAAUAAUCAAUGGCUUCUUGUUCUCACAAUCACGCUAAAGAUCUAACAGUUAUUUCAUUUAUUUCUUACUGAUAAAUUGCUUGUAGGAUCUUGCAGUUAUUUACUUUCUUAAUGAUAAUCAUACAUAUGUCAACAAUAAAGACAACACUCAAGAUUUUACUGCAAAGUAUCUGUUUAUUUGGUUGACAUGUUAAUCAUGAUAAUCAUACAGUAUAAAUCCUGAUCUCACUUUGUUGAUAAUAUUUUAACAUUCACAGUAUGUGUUCAAUUUCAAAAACAGGUAAAAGACAGUCUAUCUUUUUCACUAACUUCAAACUAGUAUGUUUGCCAUUUAUUCAUUGUCCAUAGUUUUUAUGCCCACCUACAAUAGUAGAGGGGCAUUAUGUUUUCUGAUCUGUGCGUCUGUUCGUUUGUCAGGCCAUUCGUUCGUCUGUCCGUCUAUCCCACUUGAGGUUAAAGUUUUUGGUCGAGGUAGUUUUUGAUGAAGUUGAAGUCCAAUCAACUUCAAACUUAGUACACAUGUUCCCUAUAUAUGAUCUUUCUAAUUUUAAUGCCAAAUUAGAGUUUUUACCCCAAUUUCACGGUCCACUGAAGAUAGAAAAUGAUAGUGUGAGUGGGGCAUUCCUGUACGAAGAGACACAUUCUUGUUUUCACAUUUCUUUUGAUGAGAGUUGCUGGUGACUGUGCUCUCUUCUUUAUUAACAGUUUCAUUUCCGAUGAUACUUGAAAGUGAUCUGAUAAAUCUAUGUUUUGCUUCUUCUUUUAUCAUGGUUGAUUAAAGAUGUGAUUCUGAUGAUGUCCUGGUUGAAGAACUUUCCCUACUUCAAUAAAAAGAUAGAUUUUACUGUGAUACUAUAGUAGAAAAGAAAUACUUUUUAUGAUUUUGAAAGUGACUUAAGAGAGUUGGCCUCUCAGUUUCAAAAUAAUUAACUUUUCAAAACUCUAGCAUUUAUUGAUAGGGGAUUAAUAAAGGAAUUAAAAGAGCCAAAAAAAUAUAUGGGUCACCGUACUUGUUUUCGAGAAAUUAGACAUUGAAAUUUUGGCCGGAAAAUGUUCUCUCUUGACUUUCAUAGCUUUAUCAUUGACAAGUUUAAGUCCUCAAAAUCUAUUAAAAAAUAAUUAAGUAAGUUUAAGAGAUUGAAUAUUGCUGACAUUUGCAUUUUGAUAAAAUUUAAAGUAAAUACAAGGAAAUAAAGAUAUGUUUCAAAUUUGGAUGAGCUCUUUUCUUUAAAGGGUCCUUAUAAUUUUUUACUGUAUUGAAUUAUCUCUUUGCUAGAAGGGUUCAAGAUCCCAAGAAAUCUUGAAUUUUUAAGCUUAACUUACAAAAUCCAAGGCUUUAAAAAAAGAUUGAUUUACUGCAGUUGUUUCAUACAAAAACGAGAAAACAGUCCUUCAUUUCUGCUAGUUUGAAUAAAUUCAUUUUGUUUUGAACAUGAAUGAUUUGAAAUUUUGAGAUACAAUUUUAUGUGUUAUAAAUAUAGCUUGUAUCCAACAGGGUUCAAUUCUAGAUAUUUAUAUAUAGUUGUCAAUCAGUCUUAAUUAUGAACAAAAUUGAAUACAGGGGUAAUUAGUUAAUUGUUAAAGAUUUCAUCAUGUGAAUAAUAUUAGUCUUCUCCUUUGGAUCAUGUAUUUAUACUAUGUUUUGUUUAUUAAGGUGUUCAAGUAGAUAGUUUUUUGUAACUCACAUUGUACUAUGCAAUUGAUAAAUAGUUUAUAUAAGUUUUAUUUAAAUAUAUUUU
Molecule: long non-coding RNA, 2399 nt
Filed under: Mytilus galloprovincialis (Mediterranean mussel)
Lineage: Eukaryota; Metazoa; Mollusca; Bivalvia; Mytilida; Mytilidae
Source: RNAcentral